UACGGAGGGUGCAAACGUUGCUCGGAAUCAUUGGGCGUAAAGCGCGUAUAGGCGAGACAGUAUGUCGAGUGUGAAAGCCCAGGGCUCAACCCUAAAAGUGCGCCCGAAACUGCUGUUCUUGAGGUCGGGAGGAGGUCGUGGAAUUCCCGGUAUAGCGGUGAAAUGCGUAGAUAUCGGGAAAAACACCUAUGGCGAAGGCGGCGACCUGGACCGAUUCUGACGCUGAGACGCGAAAGCGUGGGGAGCAAACAGG
Molecule: ribosomal RNA, 253 nt
Filed under: uncultured bacterium
Lineage: Bacteria
Description: partial 16S ribosomal RNA
Rfam family: Bacterial small subunit ribosomal RNA
Source: RNAcentral